Molecule: non-coding RNA, 891 nt
Organism: Oncorhynchus mykiss (rainbow trout)
Lineage: Eukaryota; Metazoa; Chordata; Actinopteri; Salmoniformes; Salmonidae
Source: RefSeq, a predicted model, not a curated record
GCAGGUGUAAUGCUUCAUUACUUGUUAUUAGCAGGUAUAAUGCUUCAUUACUUGUUAUUAGCAGGUAUAAUGCUUUAUUGCUUGUUUAUAAGCAGGUAUAAUGCUUAAUUGCUAGUUUAUAAGCAGGUAUAAUGCUUUAUUGCUUGUUUAUAAGCAGGUAUAAUGCUUUAUUGCUUGUUUAUAAGCAGGUAUAAUGCUUCAUUACUUGUUUAUAAGCAGGUAUAAUGCUUCAUUACUUGUUUAUAAGCAGGUAUAAUGCUUCAUUACUUGUUUAUAAGCAGGUAUAAUGCUUUAUUGCUUGUUUAUAAGCAGGUAUAAUGCUUUAUUGCUUGUUUAUAAGCAGGUAUAAUGCUUUAUUGCUUGUUUAUAAGCAGGUAUAAUGCUUUAUUGCUUGUUAUAAGCAUGUAAUGUCCGUUAGAAUGUCUUAUGAGGUUUAUGAUAUAUACUUGCAGACUAAGUAAAGUGUUACUGGUUAUUACACCCACGCUGUCUAAAAGGGACUUAUUAAUAAUACUAGUAAAGGAAUUCUGAGGUUAAAUUAACAUUAUUCAAAUGGAAUAUUAAGUCAACAGUACAGUUUACAUAUCUGACAACAGUUAUAUACAUUGUUCACUGUGAGUAUCUGUCUGACUACAGUUAUUCUGGAAGUACGGGACUUUCCAUACCUUUCUCCUGCAGAGACCACAAUAACAACAAAUGUCUGUUGAGCUGAAGCAAGAAUUGAACACAUUCCAAAAACGACAAAAAAAUGAUUCAAUAAAUGACUCAUCGUCUUCAAAACCCUAUUGUUGCAUGUGUAAAUGUGUUUUGGUUUUAAAGAUUAACAAGAAUUUGUAUAUUGUUGUUGUGAUGCUUUUAUGUGUUAAAAUAAAAAAAAAGACUAAAAACAAA